AGAGCCAAUUUUUAUGGUCUUUGUGAUGAGCUCAACAGGUUCAGAUCAUACAGAAGCAAUGUAAAGGCCAUACUGUGAUAAUCACAAAUCUUCAGCAUAUCACCUUGAUAAAGUAUUAGUAUAAAACUGUAAAUACUCUAAAGGAAUGUCUUUUACUCAAUGAUAAGCAACUCAAUUUCUAUUAAUAACUUAACUGGCAAUAUAACUUGUUCAUAUGCGAUAAAACUUAUCAUGGAAAUUAGCACAAGCUAUGUAGUCUGUUGCUUGUGUGCUCUCCUAUAUAACUACUUGGUAAAUGCACAAGCAGCACAUUUACCUACUCAUCAUGUGAAACUCUGCAGGAAGCUUCACAAAUGCACUCACCUUUCUGAAAAUCAUAGUAGACACCACGGCCCUUUAUUAUGGACUGUUAUUUUCAAACUCCCAUCAAGUGUUGUGUAGACUGCCAGUGAGAUUUAAUCACACUGCGUAUCCAUGAUGGAUUAUUCGCCAGUUUAUCCUCAUCCUAGAUCCAUCACUACCACUAAUCGACACAUCAGCAAGCUGCAGUCUUGGUAGGGAGGGGAAAGGAAGGAGGAGGAGGCGUACCUUGGGCGUACAGGUCCUGCAGCCCGACAGGAGGGAGAUGCUGCAGAUGUCGCCGGCGUCGAGGUCCACCGCGGCAGCAAGCACCCCCAUAUGCCUUGCCCCAGCACCGAGAGCAGGGGUUGGAUCCCGAUGCUGAUGGCUAGGCUAGGGUUCGUCGCCGGCCUCCAUCCGGAUGUUGCGGGUGCGGAUCCGGUGCCGUCGUCGCCGUAACAGAUCCGUGGCCAUCUCUGCCGCCCCAUCAUCCGGAUCCUCGUGAUCCACGACGGCCGAGUCUGCCCGGAUCGGCGUUGGCGGAUGCGGCUGCGUAUCCUCGGGAGAGGAGGAGCGGAUCGGAGGUGGCGGCAGCGGAUCGCACGAGAGGGCGGCGGCUCUGUGUCGUCGAGGGGAUCGAUAGGUUUUUGCGGGUUGGUUUUUUUUGGCUGCGUAGGUGGGAGAGG
This 1025-nucleotide long non-coding RNA is filed under the name Triticum aestivum (bread wheat). Its description in RNAcentral is "long non-coding RNA (TAES_LNC019715)". The record is from RNAcentral. Lineage: Eukaryota; Viridiplantae; Streptophyta; Magnoliopsida; Poales; Poaceae.